Molecule: long non-coding RNA, 3213 nt
Organism: Oncorhynchus nerka (sockeye salmon)
Lineage: Eukaryota; Metazoa; Chordata; Actinopteri; Salmoniformes; Salmonidae
Exons: 3
Source: RefSeq, a predicted model, not a curated record
CUGACGGCUCUUGUGUAGCUUGUGAGCGUCACAGAGGAGCUUUUUUUCAUAGACAGCUUUUAAUAGUUUGUAGCUCAGACCAUUCGUACUCGCUCAAAUUCCAUGGUCGGGUUCCCUUUUGUAGGGCAAUGUGAACACACUCGACUACUGCAACACCGUUUCUCCAGCUAUAACCCCUCACAUUGGUUCUGCAAAAGAGAGAAGAUGGCGAUGUGCAGAGUCCGAUCCCAUCAACAUCUGCAGUGGCAACAACAUCAAGCUCAGCACCAGGAACUAGUUCACUUCCUGUUUGUGCUGCCUGCGUUUCUCCAGAACUUGCUGCUGAAGAAAAAUGGAAAUGAACACGCUGGCUAAAUGCAUCAUCGACCUUGAGUAAGGUACGGACACUAUGGAAUGCCCUCAGAGUAAAGGAAGUAUAUAGCACCUCAUGGAUCUGAAUGUCUCUGACCUGUAUGGUGAUGUGAAUGGCUCUUUCCGUCCUCAGUAGAAGAAGUUCAGAGGAACACAUUAUUCCGCCUCACCAUUUGUUACACUACCUCAUUGUAUGAUAAAGACAGGGAGUUAGCAUGUGUCACAUUGAUGGACCUCAUAGAGAAUUCAACUGGCAUCCGGUACCCAGCAGUCAUCUGUAAACUCCCUCUGAACUUAGAAAAAGUCUUGUCUCACAUCAAAAUAAAGACCCUAGGGUACAACAGAUCUUUACUAGGUACAAUGGACUGUGCUGUAAGUUUAGCACGCAAUGAGAAACAGUAGGGCAUUCUGCUCGCAAUAUCUGGGAGACACAGCCUGUCAUGGGGGCAGUCAAAAGAGACUGGAGUUGCAUGCUAUGAGGUAAGGUAGUUGUGCAGAGAGAAGGCUAUCAUACUGUAGCUAUCUAUGAGAUGCAGGAAGUGGAAUGUGGAAUUAAUACGCUAACAAAGACAUAUAGUAUCGUGCAGCUAGCAUAUUGUUUUGUGAAGGUUUGGUGGGUUAGAAUGACAGCUCUCUAAAGAUCAAAACUGCACUUAAUUUACAAAUAAAAUAUCAUAUUGACUGUGCAAUCAAACAAUCAUUGUAGCAUACAGUUAGCCAUGGAGAUUUAUUUGAGCAUUAGUUUUUUACAAUCGCUAGGACCCAUUUCUCAAUACUUAGGUCACAUUUUCAAAACUCUUCACACCGUGAACACAACAGCAGUCUAUGUGGGCUAAACUGUGGAUCAUUUUUCUUUGGUUUGGCACAAAAUGCAUUCAAUGACUACGUCUUUCAAAUGUCAUGAAUUCUUUUCUCACUCAGACACGACCACCACUAAAAACGUAUGUACCUUAAGGCCAAUUUGCACAUGUUUACAUACUCUUUUCAAAACUGUUAAACGUAUGUUCAAAACCUAUCAUAACACAACAUUGAAUGAGACCGCAAUUUGCUACAUUUCUACAGUAAUACCGCUUUGAAAUAUAUUCUACAUCUAAAAAAUGAAAUACUAUCAGAACAAUUAGACCAACCACAGCUGAUUCCCAUUGUAGCUGAACACCUACCCAGGUCUUAGUCUUUCAAUUACAUUACCAUCUAUACAAAAGGGGACAUCUUAGGAAUAAUGCUGUACUGUAAUGUAAACAUGGACCCAGCCAGAGAGAGAGAAGUGGCUGACAGAGGAAGAAGAGUGGCUGGGAGAGGGAGAGGAGUACGUAUGCGUGGUGGAAGAAGACCGAGAGGAAGAUCAAGAGCUGUAGUCUCAGAUGAGUUUAGGGGCCACUAUAAUUGAUAAUGUAAUAAAUGAUGGUCCAUCAAUGAGAGAGGCUGGUCUGAGAGUGCAGCCAAAUCUGCUACUCUCAACAGUUGCAUCUAUUGAGAAACUUCUGGCAAAACAACAGGUAAGAUGUGCAUUCUGCAUCUGACUGAACAUCACAUUACAGAAGUCUAUUGAGCAAAGCCUCCAAACCUACUUGUGUGUAAUUGUUUUUGUGUUUCUGAUUAGGACCGAACGGUUACAUCCUACAGGUGGGAGAGGUAGGAUUUUCACUGCUGUGCAGGAAACUGCAAUCGUUGAUAUGGUCAUCAGAAACAAUGGCAUAAAACUGACAGAGAUUUCGGGACAGAGUGUUGGCAGACAACAUUACAUUUGGAAAUAUUCACAAUGUAAGCAUAACAACUAAUUCUAGAGUCCUGAAACAACAUCAAGUCAGGAUGAAGCAGUUGUACACUGUCACCUUCGAGAGGAACUCUGAACGAGUCAAGCAACUCAGGGACCAAUAUGUCCAGGUAAGAUGAAUAUAAAAUAGAGAACUGGUUUUGAACUAAACCAAACAGGGCAGAGGCACACAAUGGCAUGUUUUUAGGUACAAACUACCGUAAUAGCCUAACUCUUAUGAUGCCAUGUGGAUUUAUUUUAGAUAGUCAUGGAGAUUGAAGCCAGGCAAACACCCCUCAUAUUCAUCUUUGUGGAUGAGGCUGGUUUCAACUUGGCCAAAACACGGCGGCGAGGAAGGAAUGUGAUUGGGAAAAGAGACACUGUGGAUGUCCCGGGCCAGAGGGGUGCCAACAUCACAAUGUCUGUAGCAAUAUCCUCUGAUGGAUGGCUGUUACACAAAUCGCUAAUUGGGUCAUACAACACCGAGCGUCUCAUUUCAUUCCUGCAUGACCUCUAUGGAAGGGUUGUGCCAGGUGAGGAAAGGGGUACAGUGAGGUGAAAUUGGCCAACGUUUGUAAUUGUAUGGGACAAUGUGGCAUUUCACCACUCCCAUGCAGUCACAGAGUGGUUUGCAGCACAUCCCAGGAUGGUGUCACUUUUCCUCCCACCUUACUCUCCAUUCCUCAACCCCAUAGAGGAAUUAUUUUCCUCAUGGAGUUGGAAGGUUUAUGACCACCAUCCACAUGAUCAAAUGUCCCUCCUGGACGCAAUGAAUGCUGGAUGCCUGGACAUACGUAUCUGCAGAAGAUUGCCAGGGAUGGACCAGGCAUGCCAAAAGAUUCUUUCCUAUGUGUAUUUUCCAAGAUGACAUAAGAUGUGAUGUGGAUGAGAACCUGUGGCCAAAUGCAGAAGACAGGGUUGACUGGCAUUGCUACUGUAUCUGUAUCGGUAGAUGGUGUAUAUACACAUUAUUGUAUUUUGGAAUCACUCAAUGCCAAAAAAUGACACAAAACAUAUUGAAGCAUAUUGCAUCAGGUCUGAUUCAUUCCUCUAACAUAAACUGAAGUGAAUUCUAAACAGUAGAGAGGUGUCAUUCUUGUCUUGUAAAG